This 253-nucleotide ribosomal RNA is filed under the name uncultured bacterium. RNAcentral's name for it is "partial 16S ribosomal RNA". It matches the Rfam family "Bacterial small subunit ribosomal RNA", at positions 524 to 775 of the family's 1533-position model. The record is from RNAcentral.
UACGUAGGGUGCAAGCGUUAUCCGGAAUUAUUGGGCGUAAAGAGCUCGUAGGCGGUCUGUCGCGUCGGCUGUGAAAACCCGGAGCUCAACUCCGGGCCUGCAGUCGAUACGGGCAGACUGGAGUUCGGCAGAGGGAAGCGGAAUUUCGGGUGUAGCGGUGAAAUGCGUAGAUAUCCGAAGGAACAUCAGUGGCGAAAGCGGCUUCCUGGACCAGAACUGACGAUCAGGCACGAAAGCCGUGGGGAGCAAACAG